UUAAAAAUUAAACAUCAAUUUUACAAUAAUUAAUGAAGAUGAUAAUAUAUAAGUUGAUCUCUAAUGAUAUUACAGAUAUGAGCCAUAUCUUAUGAAGGUGUUAUGGAUGAUAGCAAGGAUGAACAUUCAUCAACAUGAUGAUCUUCCUCCUCAUCAUGCUCUAUUCGAUCUUCCCUUUCAUGGCACAUAAAAUCAGAAUCAGAAUUAGAUUGUCUUCUAAUGAAAUUAUGUAUUAUCAUUGUUGCAACAAUGAUUUGAACUUGUAUUUUAUAGUCGUACCUAGGCAUAUUGUGUAAAAUUGCAAAUUUGUUCUUCCAAACUCCAAAUGUUCUUUUUAUUGUGCAUUGUAAACUUGAAUGAAAAUAAUUAAAGACCUCAUUAAGAUUUGCAAAUUUAGUUGAUCUUCUAAAAUCAAAAAGAUGAUAGCAUUCCCACCUAUACAUUCCAAGAUAUCAAUUUGGUGUUGGAUAGCUGACAUCCAUCAAAUAAUAUUUACCUUGUAAAAAAGAGAUUAUUAUCAAUGUUUGUAAGUUGAAAAGCCCAACAUAAAUAAAUUAAACCAAUAAAUAUACCUGAAGACAAAUGUGGAAAGUUUAUUGACAACCAAGUUGUCAAAGCACGAUCAAAAAUGCGAGCAUCGUGUGUAGUACCCUCACAUCCAGCCAAGACAAAAGCAAAGUAUAUAUGCCAAUCACACAUAGCCAUUACAUUUUUGCAUUGGGAUUUCUUUUCUUCUAAUAUAUUUUGAUUUCUCAUUGGCUAGGACUACACAUGGAAUAUGUGCAUCAUCAAUUGCUCCAAUUGUAUUUUUAAAAAAUGGCCAAUAUCACUUACCAUUUUUUUUUGUGUGUGACAAAAGGACCUAUCUUGUGGUUUGAUAUAUUCCAUUGUAAGUUUAGAGCAAGCCAUUAAAAGUUCAUGGAAAUGUCUGUGAAUAGUCUCUCUUAAGUGUUGAAAUCUUUCUUAUGUCAUCCUGUUUCCUAACCCAUGUCCAAUUAUAUUUAAAAGUAUUGCAACCAUUUCUUGUACUCUCAUUUAUUUUGUAUCCUUCUGUCCAUACUGUACCAAUUCACUGUAUAAUUGAUGAAACACAUAUGGCUCCAUUCUAAACAUUUCAUAGCAACAAAUUGAGUGUCCUUUUAAGAUUUCAUUCACCCACAAAUGACUUGUAUAUUCACUAUUUCUACAUGGCUCUUUACAUAAAUGUCUUACUGCAUCAACCUAAUCAAGGGACCAACUUUUUGGGAUUUUUUAACCUUUUUUAUAUGACUCUUCCAUACUCCUUAUGUAACAUCUCAAAUUUUAAUCCUUGGAUUACUAAGGAAUUAUUCAAGUUUAAUCAUGAUAAUUGAGUGAUUUGAUAUGGUGUGUGGCAGAGAAGUCUAAUAAGUAUAUUUGGUUGUGCUUUGAGCCCUACUUAUGGGUUCAAAGUGAAAGCAGGCCACCUGAGCAUUGAGGAGAAAACAUGAAGGGAUUGUCUUUGUGCCACAUGCCAUGACACUCAGUGCAUCCACCGCAACGUAAAGAUGAGAAACAAUGAAAGAGCACCUCUUUAUGCCAUGCACAAUGACACGGCAUGUGCUGUGUGCCAUAGUGCAUGGCCAAAAUUUUUUAUAAGUGGCUCACAAGCUGAAACAGAAAUUAGAAGAGGAAGAAGAGAAAAACAAAGGAGCUCGUUCUUGCUUUACUCAGGUUUACCAUAUUGAUGGUUUGAGAGUAUUUUGGUGCUAGAAAACAACUAUGAUUAAUUGUCCAAGCACUACUUUGGGCUUCAAAAGCAAGCUUGAAAGCUAGUUAUUGAAGAAUAAACCUUUGAUCUCUCAAAUGUUUAAGGCUCUGGCUCCAGUAUGAAAAGGAAAAAGCUACAGAGACUUAGAAAUUUAAGAUUCCUACUGCAUAGCCUCUUGAUUCUAUUUUUCUCUGUAAUAUUUGAUAUAUUACCAAUUAGGUUAUAUUUUGCAUAUACUUGUACUUUUAAUGUUUAUGAUUUUUGAAAUAUAUUUUAAGCUUUAGGUUGUUGUUGUAUGUUGCUCAAGUGUAUUGUAGGGCUAAAAUAUUAGUAUAAGUAUAGGGAUGUUCAUUUAAUUUUAACUGUGAAUGUUGAUAUUGAAAUGUAAUGCUAAAAUCUCCUUCUUCUAUUUUUAGUAUUAAAGGGGUUGAAAGGUGAAAA
Prosopis cineraria is the source of this 2170-nucleotide long non-coding RNA. RefSeq lists it as uncharacterized. The record is from RefSeq and is a predicted model, not a curated record. Lineage: Eukaryota; Viridiplantae; Streptophyta; Magnoliopsida; Fabales; Fabaceae. The transcript is spliced from 3 exons.